RNAcentral lists this long non-coding RNA (8585 nucleotides) under Marmota monax (woodchuck). The record is from RNAcentral. Lineage: Eukaryota; Metazoa; Chordata; Mammalia; Rodentia; Sciuridae.
UGGUUAUUGGCUGGCAGGUAACAAAGUACAUGCUGAGAUAUUUUUAUUCUUAAAAACAUCCUUAAAUAUAUUCUUCUAGAUGAUUUCACUUCUGGAAUAGAGUACUUACUGUCUCUUAAAUGAAGUCUUUCUCCUUGGGUAGCACUGGGGAAAGUCAGGUAAAUUCUUGCUUUCACGUCUGUGUUUCUGGACUCUGUACUGACCGGCUCCUCCCUUUCUGCCUUCAAAACAACUGAUCCGUCUGUAGCUUUUUCCAGUUAUGUUCUAGGCUGGAGGAUACACUGAAGGGGGCCUCUUAAUGGCAGGCGUGUAGCAUUGGUGUCUCAGUGUGGGGCACUUUUGCAGAGAUGGCUGUUCUCCUCCAAAGCUGACUCUCCUGUCCUCUAGGAUCAGAGGAGGCCAGGAUUGGGACAGUGUGAGAUUGAAGAUAUUGAAGAUACAGAUAUCCAGGUCCAGGUCAUUCUAUGGGCUGGGCUGUCCUGUAAAUUUGGGGCACCAGAGCCCACAGCACUCACUGGAGAGGACAGCUCUUGUGCACUACAAGGACAAUUGUGGCCCACUUUCAUUCUUGCCUGGUGCUGAGCUGGGAUGUCCCUAUACUUCCUGUUCACCAUUGGCUUGUGAGACUCGCAGAGUGUACUUUGUCCCUAGCUCAAUAAUCCUGUGGUAUCCCGUGAGCCACUUUUUCUGGGCUUCGGUUUCUUCUUCUGUAAAAAGAGAAGGAGAUUUGAAAGAAAUGAGCUUCAGAGAAUCAUGUAAUGUUUGUUUAAUAUAUUUAAUAUAAUAUACAAUUUGAUAUAACAGUAUUUGUAUUUAUAACCCGGUUUAAAAUACAAUGCUCCAUGACAUCCCCAUAAUUCUACAUUUACAUAUAAGGAGAUUGAGUCUUUUUUUAAGGCGAUUCCAUCUUAAAGAAGAUAAAGAUUGUCUUAAAACAUCCACUCAGCAAAUGAUUGAAUGAGGCCUCAGACACAGAUCAAACUUUUCUUUAAUUGCUAAGUGGUAAUGUCUCCCCGGUCUGAGUCAGAGGACUUUUACCUCCAUCUUUGAAAGGGAGAGCACAGCCCCUGGCUUCCCCUUCCUUGCCUCUCCUCUCAGAGCUGUUUCGCCCUCUUUUGUUCUUUCUGAGUUUUCCAUGUUUUCUUGCCUUCUCCCUCUCUCCUUCUCUCCAUCCCCUAUUCAUCCUCCUCUGAGCCUCGUGCCUCCUCAGUUCCCCUUACCCAAGGGCCAGCCUCUCUCAGCCUCUCUCGUGGCUGGGAUCUGCUUUUAUGAAGAUGUGGUCUAGAUCCUAAAUGGGCCCCCAAAGCUCAUGUGUUGAGUGCCUGGUCCCCAGAGGAUAGUGCUGUUGGGAGAGUGUGGCCUAGUUGGGGGAAGUAGGUCAUUGUGGACAUGCCCUUGUUUGUGUACCCUGGGGACCCUGGCCCUUUCCUCUUUCUCCCUUUGCCUCCUGGCAACCAUAAGGUGAGCAGCUCCUCUGCUGCAUGCUUCCACGGCCAUGAUAUUACUGCCUCACCACAGACCCAGAAGUGACUGGGCCAACCGUGGACUGAAACCUCUGAACCCAUGAGCCAAAUUAAAUCUCUCCUCCCCUUGAUUGUCUCAGGUAUUUUAUUUCAGCAAUGAAAAGCUGACUAACACAUUGCCCCACUCUGCUGGGGUGAAUCUGUGGAUUGAUGAUGACAGGAAGAAGGGGUACCUUGAUAACUGGGUGGUAGUUUAUAGUCUAGAGCAUUCUUUCCCAAGCACAGGGUGAAGAAUGACCUGUUUUGGAUCAAGGCACCACUGUGGAAGAAAGGUUUGAUUCCAGUGCAGAUGCAUGGGCCCCAACCCAGAGACUAUUUUCACUAGGAUUGGGUGAGACUUGUAACCUAUUUUCAAAGAAUCUUCAACAAGGUAAUACUGUGCCCACCAGGGCCUGUCCCUGUGGUGAUCCAGAGAGUGGUAAGUGUCCACAAGGGUACCUGCAAGGUUGUCUCAGGUGGCAGCAUACAUGUAGGUCACCAAACAUCACUUAGUCAGUUUGGCACUUGCUCAUCUUACAUGUCAAUGAUACAUCUGGCUCCAUCAGUAGAACUCCUUGCUUCUAAUUAGCAGAGUGAUAUUAAGUUUUCAUAGGGAGAAGUUAAUAAGGAAAAACAUGUUGAAGAGCUCCUUAGAGUAGACGAAAGUAAAAAGUGUUGGCUUUCUGAAUAGGACUCCCAUAGCUUAGGAAAUAAAUAGCAAGAAUCAACAAAUAGGAUGGCAUCAAAUUACAAUGCUUCUGCACAGCAAAGGAAAUCAUUAACAUUGUGAAGAAACAGCCCUCAGAAUGGGAGAAAAUCUUUGCCAGCUACUCUUCCAACAGAGGAAUAAUAUUUGAAUGUAAAAAGAACUCAGAUUCAACAUCAGAAAAACAAAUAAUCUAUUUAAUAAAUAGGCAAAUUAACUAAGCAGAUACUUCUUUUAAAAAGUACAAAUGGAAUUCAAUUUAUGGAAAAGUGCUCAUCUUUUGGCAUCAGGGAAAUGGAAAUCACAACUACAAUGAGAUUCCAUCUAACUCUAGUCAGAACAGCAAUCAUUAAGACCCCAAAUAACAAAUGCUAGCAAGGAUAUGGGGGGGAUGACUCAUGCACUGUUGAUGUGAAUGCAAAUUAGUACAGCCCCACAGAAAUCAAUAAGGAAUUUCUUCAAAAAACCAAAAAUCAAACUACCACAUGACCCAGCUCCACCACUCCUCAAUAUUUAUCCAAAAGAAUUAAAGUCAGCAUAUAGUAAUAAAUAUGAAUGUCUAUGUUUAUUAUGGCAAAAUUCACCAUUUCCAAGUUAUAGAAUUAUCCCAUGUGUCCAUCUACAAGUGACUGGAUAAAGAAAAUGUGGCACAAAUAUGCAAUGGAGUUGAAUUCCUUCAUAAAGAAGAACAAAAUUGUACCAUUUGCAGGAAAAUGGAUGGAUCUGGAGAUUAUCAUGUUAUGCAAAAUAAGUGACACUCGGACAAGUAACAGAAGGACAUCAUAAAAGCAAAAGGGUGACUAUUAGGUAGAGGAAGGGGUCUAGGAAAAGGAGGAGGGGAAGGCAAGGGGAGGUAUUGAGGAGUGCAAUUAGGAGUGCAAUUAAUCAAGUUAUGUUAUAUAAGUGUAUGAAUAAGCCACAGUGGAAUCCACUAUUCUGUACAAUUAUUAUGCAACAAUUAAAAAAAAAACGAAAAAAGUGUUGAGAAACAUUGGUUUAUGCAAGAAUGUCUGUAUUUCUGCUGAGAAGUUAAAAUUAUGCCAGGUCAACCACACCCUUUCAUUCUGCCUCUCUGUGCCCAUGGACAAUGGGGCCAAAGAUAAGAUCUGAAUUUACAUGUUAGAGUUUCUCCAGCCAUUAACUGUGAAUGGUCAUAUUUGCCCUGACUUGUACAGUUAGGAUGAGAUCUCUCUUUUAAUCCCAUGGCUCUAGUCAUUUGUUCCACUCGUUUGUCACUUAGCACUUAGCAUUAGUGACCUGACAUCUUUUGUAUGUGUCUGUUUUGUCUUCAUAACUAGAUUAGAAAGUCUUUUAUGGUAGAGACCUUGUGUUCACCUGAUAGUGCACUAAUUUACUCACGCGUCUAUCAGACAGGCAUUGAGCACUGCCAGGCACAGGGAUAGAUUAAAUUAAAAAAAAAUAGUAAGAUAUAGUCUCUGACUUUAAACAUUUCUAGCAAACAAACCAUGGCUUGGAAAAUAUAAUGACUGAGAUGUGUUUAUUUUGUACAGAAAAGUACCCUGCCCAGCGGAGAGGAGGCCAUCUUUAACUGAGGCUCAAAGGAAAAAUGAGGAAGAGUAAGUUUUCCAGGUAGAGAAUGGAUGGGGAACAGGAAGACCAUUCCAGGCUGAACUAGAGCUUCUGCUACAUGUAGAGAGGGGCUGGAAUGAGACCAGGCCUAAGCACAAAACUAAGGGCACGAAUCUUGCCUCUGAGGCAGUGGGAUUCCACUGGAGAAUUGAAAUUAGCCAGUGGAAUGAUUAGCUCCCUUGUCCCAAAGCUCACCUGGCUGCAGUAGGGUGGGAAUAGAGGAGGAUGGGAGACCUUUCAGUAGGGCUGAAUUGCUGAUGCCUGAGCAAGGAAAGCGGGUAGGAGUGGAGGGAACCCCUGGAAGAUCUGCUGGGGAAGGAGAAUCCAGAGAACUUAUUGAUUUAAAGGUCAUGAGGGCAAGUGAAAAAUCAGUAUCCCACUGUGAGGGGAGAUUUGUCACUAUCUAUUCAAACAAACAAAAACAGAAUAGUUUAUGCUGCAGUUUGGAUCUGGAGUGUCCCCCAAGGCCUCUGUGUUAAAGGCUUAGUCCCCAGCCUGUGGCACUAUUGGGAGUUGGUGGGACUCCGGUAUUUGUUAUAGUGAUGAGAGCUAACACAGUCCAUGACCUGGAAAUGUCACUUAUGGCUGUCUACCCUAAGAAGAAAAUUCAUGCACCAAUGUUCCUUAAGAAGAAAAAGACUAAUAUGUCUAUCAAUAAGGAUCUGGAUAAAGAAAACAAUUUAAAUAAAAAACACCUCUAUGUAACAAAAUAAUUCUUUCUCCAACACAUUAUAUGACUGACAGAGAAAAAAGAAAAGCUUGUCAUAGAAUAGUACAUAUAAUAGGAGUUGAUGAUCUAGAUAAAAUUUUAGCUGGGCAAGGUGGUGCAUGCCUGUAAUCCCCCUGGCUCUGGAGGCCGAGGCAGGAGGAUGGUGAGUUCAAAGCCAGCCUCAGCAACUCAGUGAGGCCCUAAGCAACUCAGCGAGACCCUGUCUCUAAAUAAAACAUUCAAAAGGGCUGGGGAUGUGGCUCAACAGUUAAGUAUCUGUGAGUUCAAUCUCUGGUACAGAAAAAUAAAAAUAAAAAUCACUUUAGCAUUUGAGGAAGCCCCUCUACAGUUAUCUUCCAAACUCUUCACCUUAAAGUAGACUUGUUAGAUAUUGAGUCUCACUCACCCACAUAGUGCUACUUAGUAGUUCUCUUAUUUCUUUAUUUAAAAUUUUAAUAUUGAGUGUGUAAUAGCAUUUAUAGGACACAUAUAAGUUGUGACACAAUACUCCUAUGUACACCACUAACUCCAAGACCAGAAAAACAUUCUCAUUAUUUUCAAUGUUUUUUGUGUCCCUCUCAAGUCUUUCUUAUUCUUCCCCUCUCAGAAGUAACCGUUCUCCUGAAUUUUGAUUAGAGUUCCACACUUUUUGUUAUUUAGUUUUGGGUGUUUUUGAACUUUAUAUAUAGGAUCAUACAGAAAAUAUGAAAGAAAGGCAAAAGCAUAUCUAAAAGGAGAUAAUGUUUUUCUUGGCAGAUGAUGUGACUAUAUAAAGUUAUUUGAAAAUUAGAACAAUAUGACAACCUGACAAAAUGAUUAAUAUGAAGAUCAAUACAAAAUUAUAGGUUCUUAUAUCAAUAAUAAUUAUAAAAUAAAAUAGAUCUAUCUACAGCAGCAAAAAUAAAAACAUAGUUUACCAACAAAAAUGGAAAUAUGUAAGAUCUAUGUGAAACAAAAUUUGAGAUAUCCCCUAUACUUGGUUGGCUGUCAUGAAACAGAAUAUGACCAUUACAUUCUAAAUAAAUGCAAAUUUCAAAAGAGAAAUAUUUGAAAACGAAUUCACAAUAAGUUACUAGCUUAAUGAGCUUUCUUUCUCACCAACUUUCUUAACAUUUUGUUCUGUGCAUCUGAAAAUUUAGAUGUCCCCAGUGGUGUCUGACGUGUAGGACACGUUGUCUCCAGAAGAAUCACUUUCAGGUGCUUACUGAAAUGCUCAUUGCAGAACACCACCCUCAGAAAUUCUGAGUAAGAGUUCUGAGUAGAACCCAUCCACCUGCAUUUUAACUUGGAAAAACAUUGCUUUAAUCCAAAGGAAGGAAUCUCAGAUGGUAGCAUCCAAGUUCUCUCUGGAGAUCAGCAAAGAGACAUUCUUAGGAAUGAACAUUUUUCUGGCAAUCUUGAGAUUACAUCAGGAUAAUUGGGCACUCCAUAGGUUCAUGUGUGGCUCUUACAAAGGUCUAUAUCUAGAGGACUGCAUGUGGACAUCAUGUUUGUACAAGGUUAUAUGGUAAAGAAUCUUUUAUUCUUCCCACAGUUUUUUAUUGGUGCAUUAUAGUUGUAGAUACUGCUGGGAUUUUCUGUUACCCAUUCAUACGUGCACAGAAUACAUAAUCUAACAACAACAUGUAAGGAAUCUUAAGGACUGUGCCCUACAUUUUCUGUUUGCUAUGCUUUCUUUGGGUUUCUUCCUUAUGUCCUGUGAAUUUGGAGGUGCUGUGAUCAGAAUUUUGUGUUCCCCAAAAUUCAUUUAUUGAAAUCCUUACCCCCAGAUAUGGUAUUGGGAAGUAGGACCUUUAGGGGAUUAUUAGGUCACGAGGGCAGAACCCCCUUGAAUGGUAUUAGUGCCCUCAUAAAAGAUCCCAGUGAACAGCUUGUCUCUCCUACAGUGUGAGGACACAGCAAGAAAGAGCCAUCCGUGGGGGAGCAGGUCCUCACCAGCCACCAAAUCUGCUGGCAUCUUGAUCUUGGACUUCCAGCCUCCAGAAAUGUGAGAAAUAAACUUCUGUUGUUUAUAAGCGACACGGUUUGUGGUAUUUUGAUACUGGUAUCAUUGAUAGUAUUUAUUAUUUUGUAGCCUGAACAGACUUAAGAGGAGAGGAGUAAGGAAGGUGGCCCUGGGAUCAAGGACAGCGGGUGGAGAGGAAGGAGGGCCCUUCUGCAGAGGAUUUGACCAUGCAGAGGCCCAGGCUUUGUGCUGGAGGACGUGCUCAUUUCAUUGUCAACGGUUAGGUGGCUCUCAGUGAACCACAGCAGAAGGCCAGGACGGAAACCAAGACACCCACCCCAACAGUUAGGCCCUCCUCCACAACCACUUCCCUUCUGUGUGUGGAUGUGGUGGGCUGGGUGGGCAAUAUAAGCUUCACCUGGCUCCCUCCACACUCCAGGGCCCCGAGAGAAAGGCCAUCCCUGAACAUUUGGCUUCUGCCUCUGGGCUCACCCGCCUUCAGUUCCAUGGGAGGCUUUGAGGGUCAUCUGUACGCAGGGCUGUCUCUGUUCCUCUAUGGACUUUACCAGGCGCAGCUCGUCUCUAGGGCCUUGAUCUGCAACUCCCGUGUCCAAUAUCCACCAUGUCGUCCUUGGGACAAAGGAAGAUGGGCAAAGCUACGGCAGAUAUAUUACAUUGGCCCGAUGAAGAUCCUAAGUGCCUUCAUUUUAGUAGCCCAAGAGUUGAACAGCGUUCAUGGACAGCUGGUUCUUAUCAGCAAGAUGUAUCACCAGAGAGACUUUAUGUACCGCAAACAGUGGCAGCAUCUCACUCUCUAUUUGACCUUCUUCCUGACGGGGUGUGCAGAUAUGGUGAGCCAGAACCUGAUGCCCCAGAGGUGUGUGGCUCUGGAGCAAGGCACCCAAGCCCUGGGCAUAUUUCUGUUUCUGCCCCUGAUGGUGUCUCACAUGCAGGACACAGAAGGAGUAGAACUGCAGUUUCACAUCCUGCUCACCCAGGCCAUGUUCCUGCUAACGGUGGUAGUGACUGCAGAGCUCUGGGCUCCCAAUGCCAUGCUGAUAUGGACAAUGAAGGCCUUUUUGUACAUGAUCACAGGCUCUUGGUUGGUACAGAUAGGCUUUAUGUUGUUCAAGCCAGUCUCUGGCUAUAAAUGGAUGGAUGAUGACAAAAAUGACAUAAUGUUUGCCACCACUUUCUUCUGCUGGCAUGUGGUCUUCAAUGCCAGUUUGAUGAUCUGGAUCUAUGGCUUCUCUUUUUUGUGGUAUUGCUACAUUCUUAUUAAAGACAGAACCUGGAUGCGCCCCCUGGUGGUGCCCUGUGGCCUUCACACUCCAAGAUGUCUGGAUGAGAAGUUGUGAGAGGUGGGCGGCCAGGAAAGCAGAAUCUGGUGUCCUUCCUUCAUGGGGGUCCUACCUUGAAGCCGCAGACUCUGCUGGAAUGGACGUGCACCCUCUCCCUUCUGGCUUCCCUCAGCCUUAUUUGAACAGUGCAUAGAGGAAAGGUGAACGGAAUAAGAGUCCUGCCACUAAGACCUCCCCUCUCAACUCCCCAAGCGUUUCCCUCCUCAGCUCCUGCUGCGGUACCUGCUUGCCCUGCACCUCUCUGUAUCGCCCACUCCCCUCCCAUGAGAACAUUAAAGAAAUUUUCUAUGUCCUGCUUGUGAAACUUUUUACAAAUAUCCCUCACUCCACCACAUGGAAUAUCCACCACAGUCAAAUUUAGUACAUAAUAAUAAUUUACCCAACAUAAUAACCAUAAUAACCCCACGUCCAUUCUUUCUGGUUCUGGAUCUCUUUCAUGAUGAUACUAUGAAAUCAUGUUUUGACUAAAUAGAAUUCAGAACUCUUUUUGAGUUCUUUAUUUUGAUUACUUUGUGAUUUAUCAAGCAGAAAGUCAGACCCUUUUGCAGCUUCUUGCUCAGUGAGAUCUAGAAGAACAGAGCAGCACCCUACUCACAGAGAGGGCUCCAAGGGCUCGACUGCCUCCAGGGGUUCUCCCCCGCACUGCCUCCUCUAGUACUGUCAGACUCUCCCUCCAGGCAUGUCACCCACUGCUCUGCACACUUGGGAAUCAAGUUCCAAGUAGUAGAUUUGCCAGGACCCACUCUUUUGUGAUUCUCCUAUAUAAUAAAAU